RNAcentral lists this ribosomal RNA (255 nucleotides) under uncultured bacterium. RNAcentral describes it as "partial 16S ribosomal RNA". It matches the Rfam family "Bacterial small subunit ribosomal RNA", at positions 524 to 778 of the family's 1533-position model. The record is from RNAcentral.
UACGGGGGGGGCAAGCGUUGUUCGGAAUUACUGGGCGUAAAGGGCUCGUAGGCGGCCAACUAAGUCGGAUGUGAAAUCCCCAGGCUUAACCUGGGAAUUGCAUCCGAUACUGGAUGGCUUGAAUCCGGGAGAGGGAUGCGGAAUUCCAGGUGUAGCGGUGAAAUGCGUAGAUAUCUGGAGGAACACCGGUGGCGAAGGCGGCAUCCUGGACCGGCAUUGACGCUGAGGAGCGAAAGCCGGGGGAGCAAAACGGGG